Molecule: ribosomal RNA, 403 nt
Filed under: uncultured bacterium
Lineage: Bacteria
Description: bacterial SSU rRNA
Rfam family: Bacterial small subunit ribosomal RNA
Source: RNAcentral
UAGGGAAUAUUAGAAAUGGACGAAAGUCUGAUCUAGCAACACCGCGUGUGCGAAGAAGGCCUUCGGGUCGUAAAGCACUUUUUGGAAGGAAUAGGAAGGAAUGUACUUCCAGAAUAAGUCUCGGCUGACUACGUGCCAGCAGCCGCGGUAACACGUAGGAGGCGAACGUUAUCCGGAUUUACUGGGCGUAAAGCGCGUGUAGGUGGUACUGUAAGUAGGGCGUGAAAGCUCCUGGCUCAACUGGGAGAGGCCGUUCUAAACUACAGAACUAGAGGAUGGUAGAGGGAGGUGGAAUUCCAGGUGUAGCGGUGGAAUGCGCAGAUAUCUGGAGGAACACCGGUGGCGAAGGCGGCCUCCUGGACCAUUCCUGACACUCAGACGCGAAAGCCAGGGUAGCAAACGG